Molecule: non-coding RNA, 30 nt
Filed under: Mus musculus (house mouse)
Lineage: Eukaryota; Metazoa; Chordata; Mammalia; Rodentia; Muridae
Source: RNAcentral
AAUGAAUGAAUGGGGGUGUCUAAUGAAAGC